This is a long non-coding RNA of Nematolebias whitei (Rio pearlfish), 277 nucleotides long. RefSeq lists it as uncharacterized. The transcript is spliced from 3 exons. Lineage: Eukaryota; Metazoa; Chordata; Actinopteri; Cyprinodontiformes; Rivulidae. The record is from RefSeq and is a predicted model, not a curated record.
CACUUCAUCACCCAUUCCAGGUCAGCCAGCAUUUAUAAAGGAGCUCCUGCUUUCAUAUGGUAAACACAAGAUCUUUAAAGCAGUAAGAUUUAACAGGAGCCCAGCAUGAGAAUAGUUGUACUUCUAACUGCAUUAGCAGCAGUAACUCGGUCCCAGAAUGACUGCUCUAAGGGAGCAUGUUACCCCCCCAGCAGAGACCUCCUACUGGGCAGAUCGGACCUGUUUCGAGCAUCCUCCACCUGCGGCCUCGCCGGCUCAGAGGUCUACUGCAGCCCAU